CUUUCCCAGUAAUGCCGGGCACUGUGAAUAAUACAGCUGAAUCUAAACAGAACAGCUGUCUUUUGAAGGAAAUUAUCAGUAAAUUAUUCCAGAACAGAAACCAACAAUAUGUUUAUUGAUUAUUAGUUUCUGUUCACCUCACCACAAAAAUGACAACAGGUGGAUGUGUGAAGUGAAGCAAUGAAAUCAGAUGAGCCCUGAUCUGUCUCCUCUUCGGUCCAUUGCCUCUCUGGAAAAAAACCUUCUGGACAAACACGCACCAAGAGAGCAGACAAAGCCAGAUGUUGUCACAGGGAAACUUCAGCCUGACCUCUAAUUUAUUUAUUUCUUUUCCUACUUGGCGGGGAUCCAUUGGAGGGAGGAGAAGGAGCAGAUACUCACCUGGAAAAGAUCACUCCUCUGAAGCGCAGACAGAGAGCGGACCGUCGCUCACAAUAACCGGCUCUGUGGCUCUGGCUUAUCUCAUCUCGGCGGAUCCCCCCCCCCGUGCCGACCCGUACCGGCUGUUCCUCCCCCCGGUAUCAUCUGAAUCACACAUGCACACAGCACUGUGUGUGUGAGAGAGAGCGAUGCAGUCAUCUUUUCACUUUCUUUGCUUCCGCGGACCCGUAUCUCUCACAUCUUCUUUUUUUCCCCUGGAUCUUUGUUUCUGGACGGCGGGCUGCGCCUGCCAGCACCAGCAGCAGUAGAUGUGUUGAGCGACACAGCUAAUAGCAGUAUCUUUCAACAGUGACCACAGCCUGAUCCUGAAAUCCCUACAUUCAUGAGAAGGCAACAGGAAGCAGAUUACUGAAGGAUUAAACACUUGCACAUACACGCACACACGGAGUACAACGGCUCCAGGUUUUGACCACUGUUCAAAUGCGGAUCUCACUCUGAAUCAACUUGUCUGACUGACUGAGACUCUCUGGUAUUAUGGAAGAAGAGGAGGAGCCAACAGAGUCUCUCUGAAUGUAACUCACAUAACCCCACCUCCUCUUUCCUGCCUCAUUAUCCAGGGCUUUGACUGGUCGUUGAGGAUUAUAAGAAACACAGCAGAGCGUGCAGAGACAGAGGGGCGUAGAGCCGAUUGUCCACCUGCUGCUGCCCCACGAUGCAUCCACACAUCUAAGAGCAGGAUCAGCCUCACAGAGGGCUGUUUCUAUGGAUACCCCUGCCCCGGGUUGUAUUCAUAAGACUCACUGAUAUUCUGACUAUCUGCACAUGAAGAAAAUACAGUGACGGAUUAGAAGUGCAUCCUUGGAGCAGGCUACGGCGUUCUUUGGAGGCAGAGAAAGACAUCAAGUGUCAAGAGGAAACUAUUGAAGGGAAAACCAUUUUUUCCUAAACAUAUUGUACUGUAGAUGUUUUGCCAACAAAACCAGUAGCUGCAGUAUGAAAAAAAAAAUCUAAAACCAUAUUUUAGAUUUUUUUUUUUGUCUCACUUGGUUUCAUUCAUUUCAAUCCUUUUUGACAUCCCGUUUAUUGUACCUUGUCCAAGGUUGUGUUCAAGAGAACAUGAACAACAGCCAGUUCAGUAAAAGAUUGAUUUGAUAAGAAUCUGCCCACACAGUACCAGAAGAGGAGGUGAAAAUGAUGCACAAAGACACUUCUCUGGCCUCAAGGAAAAUAGCUACAUUUCUAACCUGCUUGCAAUACUGAGCACAGCUCAAAAUUCUGAGCUCCAAUUCCAGAUAAAAUUAUUCCCCCUUGUGGAGCUCCUCUCACCGGACUAAUUGUGGUAUUGAAUGUGAGUGUUGUCUACGUGAGUAUAAAAAGUAGUUAAGGUUCUGUACUCACCAACAAGAUGUAACAUUAAGUGCAUGAGAUAAUAAAAAAGCGCUUUUAAUCUACUUGGAAUCUGUCACCAGCCCCCAACACCUCCACACUGAGCCAUU
Long non-coding RNA from Scatophagus argus, 1877 nucleotides. RefSeq lists it as uncharacterized. The record is from RefSeq and is a predicted model, not a curated record. NCBI's taxonomy places the organism in Eukaryota, Metazoa, Chordata, Actinopteri, Scatophagidae. The transcript is spliced from 5 exons.